RNAcentral lists this long non-coding RNA (2015 nucleotides) under Homo sapiens (human). Its description in RNAcentral is "non-protein coding MORF4L2-AS1:9". Lineage: Eukaryota; Metazoa; Chordata; Mammalia; Primates; Hominidae. The record is from RNAcentral.
AGUCCUGUGGCGCAACUCCCCGAACACGGAAAAAAAAGGCGCAGUGGGGGUUCUGCUGUGUUUGCAAGUGAGGGUCGUGAGUGCAACGGGCGCAAGGCAUUAAGGCCAGUGUGUUAGUGCGCGGGCAGGCUCGCGUGGUGCUGGGGUUGCUGUGUGAGCGGCCCUCGUGGCUCGGGAGGUGCUGUGUUUGCGCAGGCGUGCGCCCCUGGCGUCGGGACUGGUGAGAGCCACGGCGGGCGCGCGCGCGUGCGUGAUGGUGGGGGCGGUGCAGGGAGGGGUUUGCUACUGCGCGCAGGUUGUUAUCUAUUUCUGUGUUAUAUUUGAAAAUGUUCUAAUGAAAAGGAAAAUAAAUAAUUAAGGAAAGGCGACAAUAACAGAUAAAGGGGCACUGUCAGAAAUAUUUUGGCUUUCCGUACUGAUUUAAUUACUUUAAAAAUACACUUCCUACGUUUUCCUCCGUGCCAAAAUCCUAUCGUAAACCACAGCCCUCCAAUGAUUCAGAGCCAAACCCUUCCAUCGCCGCAUUAGCAACUCCAAAGGGAGGCUUCUUUCAAGUUCUCUAGUAUCGUCCUCCCUCCCCUCCUCCACACCUACCCCCUCCCUUCAAGGUUGCGUGCAGUUCUCUUGGCACAAAUACAAUUUUCCUGUGAGAAUAUCUAUCUACGACAGCCUUCCCCUCCGUUAGGGACUCCGGAUUUCUGUGGCGACUGAGGCGCUCUUACCUUUGCGUCCUGAUCUCCAAGCAAGCACACUGACCUUCUUCAGGCAAAUACGCACUGUUAAUUUUCCAGAAAGUUCUCCUCAAAAUACAUUAGAAAUAUCUUGUUCCCUGCUUUGGCUAAUGUUGACUGGAGUGUCAAGAAGAGUGCAGGAAAGCAAACCAAGCUGUUGCAACCUCACCAGAACAGCUGAAGAAUGAAUUUCAGCCUGGACUCUACCUUAUUAGUUGGGCACCCUUGGGGAGGGUGCAACCUGCCCAACAUUUUCUGCUGGCCCUGUCUUACCUCAUGACUAAGAGAGCCUUCCUAGGUCUGGAAGGUAGCAGUCAGUCUGUUCUGGAGGGUGGAGAGAGACACCAGUGUUUUCCCAUGGUUUCUGGGUAGUAGAUAAAAUUGGUCUAUUCUAAGGUUAAUUUGAUAUUUUAAAAUUUUGAUUCUGACUAGCUUAUUGGAUUUUUUUGAAUAAUGUUUGAUUAAUGUAAAGGUUAAAAAUAAAACCUAAUAUUUCAGCUAAGCAAAUGGUAUUUCUUUAAUAAGGACGUAUUUCUAUCUAUUUAUACCUGCCUCAUUCCAUAGGAAUUUUAUAAAGCCAGUCCAGGAAUGUAGUCUGAAUCAAUCUAGUUUGCUAGCCUGUGAGACCAGGGCAAAGAUGAAAAUAGUCAUGGGAAAGUUUUAUCCUUUUAGGGGUAUCUGUCUUCUUCUAGUUCCUCUCUCCUCCUUUGACAAAUCCCCACCCCGAGACUGACCUACCCAUUUGACAGAAUGAGAUUACUUCUUCAAAUGACCCAAAACACUGAGAUCCUGAACCUAAUCAAUAAUGUCCUUGGAUGACCUUGGGAUGCCAGAUUCACACAUAAUUCCUUGUUGUCCCCUUCCUGAGUUAAUAGUUUAGCAUACAAUUUACCAAAAUUUGUAGUUUCCUGAGCCACAGACUUCACUUGGAAUGAUCAUAUAAAGUCAUCCAUGCUACAUACCAACCCACAGAAAUGAGGACCGCUUUCCUCCAGUGUAUGCUGAGUCCUACAAUCUGAGCACUGCUUCAAGAGGAUGCCUUGAGUCAUUUUUCCAGAGUUAAAUUUGCUUAUGCUUCUAACCUCCACCUACAGUCCCCGUUACACUGGGAAUGAUAAAAACUAUGCCUUUUGAAAAUAUAAGCUGUCAUGUUAUUAAAGAUGACAAACCAGUAGUAGUUAAAGUGCUGCAUCUAAAUUGUUGAAGCUUGUUACGUGGGAGUUCAUUAGACUGUUUUUCCUACUUUUGUGUAUUUUUGAAGUUUUCCAUAAUAAAACAUUUAAA